GAUGAACGCUAGCGGCAGGCCUAACACAUGCAAGUCGAGGGAGGAGCUUUCGGGCUUCGACCGGCGUACGGGUGCGUAACGCGUAUACAAUCUGCCUUUCACAUAGGGAUAGCCCGAAGAAAUUUGGAUUAAUACCUAAUGGUAUAUAGAGGUGGCAUCACCUUUAUAUUAAAGCUGAGGCGGUGAAAGAUGAGUAUGCGUUCUAUUAGCUAGUUGGAGAGGUAACGGCUCCCCAAGGCGACGAUAGAUAGGGGUUCUGAGAGGGAUAUCCCCCACACUGGUACUGAGAUACGGACCAGACUCCUACGGGAGGCAGCAGUGAGGAAUAGUGGACAAUGGUCGGAAGACUGAUCCAGCCAUGCCGCGUGCAGGAAGACGGCCUUAUGGGUUGUAAACUGCUUUUGCAGGGGAAGAAUAAGGACUACGCGUAGUUUGAUGACGGUACUCUGCGAAUAAGCAUCGGCUAACUCCGUG
Molecule: ribosomal RNA, 474 nt
Filed under: uncultured bacterium
Lineage: Bacteria
Description: partial 16S ribosomal RNA
Rfam family: Bacterial small subunit ribosomal RNA
Source: RNAcentral